GGGGCUGUGGCUCAGAGGUAGAGCACUCACCUAGCAUGUGUGAGGCCCUGGGGUUCAAUCCUCAGCACCACA
This 72-nucleotide transfer RNA is filed under the name Marmota monax (woodchuck). RNAcentral's name for it is "tRNA.Ala". It matches the Rfam family "tRNA". Rfam says of the family: Transfer RNA (tRNA) molecules are approximately 80 nucleotides in length. Their secondary structure includes four short double-helical elements and three loops (D, anti-codon, and T loops). Further hydrogen bonds mediate the characteristic L-shaped molecular structure. tRNAs have two regions of fundamental functional importance: the anti-codon, which is responsible for specific mRNA codon recognition, and the 3' end, to which the tRNAs corresponding amino acid is attached (by aminoacyl-tRNA synthetases). tRNAs cope with the degeneracy of the genetic code in two manners: having more than one tRNA (with a specific anti-codon) for a particular amino acid; and 'wobble' base-pairing, i.e. permitting non-standard base-pairing at the 3rd anti-codon position. Lineage: Eukaryota; Metazoa; Chordata; Mammalia; Rodentia; Sciuridae. The record is from RNAcentral.